UACAGAGGGGGCAAGCGUUGUUCGGAAUUACUGGGCGUAAAGGGCGCGUAGGCGGCCUGCUAAGUCGAACGUGAAAUCCCUGGGCUCAACCCAGGAACUGCGUCCGAUACUGGUUGGCUUGAAUCCGGGAGAGGGAUGUGGAAUUCCAGGUGUAGCGGUGAGAUGCGUAGAUAUCUGGAGGAACACCGGUGGCGAAGGCGACAUCCUGGACCGGUAUUGACGCUGAGGCGCGAAAGCCAGGGGAGCAAACGGG
RNAcentral lists this ribosomal RNA (253 nucleotides) under uncultured bacterium. RNAcentral describes it as "partial 16S ribosomal RNA". It matches the Rfam family "Bacterial small subunit ribosomal RNA", at positions 524 to 776 of the family's 1533-position model. The record is from RNAcentral.